CCUACGGGUGGCUGCAGUGGGGAAUAUUGGACAAUGGGGGGAACCCUGAUCCAGCCAUGCCGCGUGUGUGAAGAAGGCCCUCGGGUUGUAAAGCACUUUCAGUGAGGAAGAACGCCUGGUGGUUAAUACCCAUCAGGAAAGACAUCACUCACAGAAGAAGCACCGGCUAACUCCGUGCCAGCAGCCGCGGAAAUACGGAGGGUGCGAGCGUUAAUCGGAAUUACUGGGCGUAAAGCGCGCGUAGGUGGCUUGAUAAGCCGGUUGUGAAAGCCCCGGGCUCAACCUGGGAACGGCAUCCGGAACUGUCAAGCUAGAGUGCAGGAGAGGAAGGUAGAAUUCCCGGUGUAGCGGUGAAAUGCGUAGAGAUCGGGAGGAAUACCAGUGGCGAAGGCGGCCUUCUGGACUGACACUGACACUGAGGUGCGAAAGCGUGGGUAGCAAACAGGAUUAGAUACCCCAGUAGUC
This 465-nucleotide ribosomal RNA is filed under the name Vreelandella stevensii. Its description in RNAcentral is "partial 16S ribosomal RNA". It matches the Rfam family "Bacterial small subunit ribosomal RNA", at positions 338 to 795 of the family's 1533-position model. Lineage: Bacteria; Pseudomonadati; Pseudomonadota; Gammaproteobacteria; Oceanospirillales; Halomonadaceae. The record is from RNAcentral.